GUUUUAAUAAUUUAAAUAAAAUAUUGGUCUUGUAAACCAAAAAUAAGGUUACUUUUAAAACU
RNAcentral lists this transfer RNA (62 nucleotides) under Coccinellidae sp. 1 EF-2015. RNAcentral describes it as "tRNA-Thr". It matches the Rfam family "tRNA". From Rfam's summary of the family: Transfer RNA (tRNA) molecules are approximately 80 nucleotides in length. Lineage: Eukaryota; Metazoa; Arthropoda; Insecta; Coleoptera; Coccinellidae. The record is from RNAcentral.